This is a long non-coding RNA of Carya illinoinensis, 620 nucleotides long. RefSeq lists it as uncharacterized. NCBI's taxonomy places the organism in Eukaryota, Viridiplantae, Streptophyta, Magnoliopsida, Fagales, Juglandaceae. The transcript has 3 exons. The record is from RefSeq and is a predicted model, not a curated record.
UUUCCAUUCACAUUCCAUAAUUUAUUGUCUUUCAUGUAAGAGUGAAAUAGGGUAAGCACCAAGUACCGGUAUCGAGGCUAGUUAGGAUUUUGAUUAAUGAUGUUUAAUUGAGUUUUAUUGAUUCUGUCCACAGGUAGCAAUGAAUGCAUUUGAAGGUAUGAGAUUUUGCACUUGUGGAUUGUCUGCAUCGGUGAAGUCAGAUUUUUGUGGCAUGUUACGAGUGCUUUCCUUGGGUUGGGAAGUUCCAAUAAUGGGAACUGUAUGGAUGAACAUCAUGGUACCAGAAACACGUCGGUUUAGAAGAAAAUGUAUUUGUCUCAGGAAAGGAAAAAAUAGGUACAACAAUUCGGUUUGUGGCAUGCACUCAAAACAUAUCACUUCCAGCGACCUACAGACAACGGCUGCUUAUGCAGGCAAUUGUACUAGCCGACAUUGUAUUCAUUCUCUAUUAAGAAUUUUAUAAUUAACUAGUGUUACGUAAAUUCCUUUUGUACGGUUGUUGUCAUGGAAAGAGAAGAAAUUCCAGUAGCUGGAAUUAAGUGGAAACUGCAACAGCCAUUUAAUGGGCAGUGAUUGUGAAUAUUCGGUUUCUAUAUGAAUGGAGAAGUCGUUGUAUGCAA